Molecule: long non-coding RNA, 1679 nt
Organism: Poecilia latipinna (sailfin molly)
Lineage: Eukaryota; Metazoa; Chordata; Actinopteri; Cyprinodontiformes; Poeciliidae
Exons: 2
Source: RefSeq, a predicted model, not a curated record
GGUUUGUUUUAACAUUUUAACAUGAUGGGAAGCUCAAAACAGUCGAUUUUACAUAAAACUGCCUCUUUAAAUGGGCAAACAGGGCAGCUCUGAACCGGUUCCAGAGGCUGACAUGCUUUCAGACCGGAGGCGGUGGAGGAGGAGGCGUUCCCAGUCACAGACUGGGACCCUCCAGCCGCCCUGGUGUUAAUUUUCUGCUCUGCUUGUUUGUAAUAUCUGCAGCUGAAUGUACUCUGAUCAUUAAAGUCAAUGAUUCAGAGAACACCGAAGGCUUCCCCUGUUGGAGUUUGAUCUGCCAGCAGCUGAAGAACUGCAGGAUCAUCUAGAAGCAGGCAUUAGUUGAUCAAUCUAAUUAUAAAGGCUUCAUUAAAAUCAUCAUUAUUUCUGCUUUUUGGCUCAUGACAGGUUCUCCUUAUUAACUCAUAAGUUACAUCAUAAAACAAACUUAAAAAAAUAACUUUUUGUAGAUGUUCUACACUGAUGCGGAUAGAUGGACGGACAAAUUACUUUAGUUUAAUAAAUCAAACAAUCAGCAGCCAUAUGGAGCUCCACUGCAAUGGAGGUUAAAGGUCAAAAUCUGAAUUUAUGAUUCUUUAGCUUUAUUGGGAGGGAUGGGAUUCAUUGAUCUAUUUUUAACUGAGCUCUAAACUGUAAACAUGAGGGAAAUAAUCCCCAAACCAGUGAAAUGUUUGAAACCAGUAAGUUCUGUCUAAAACCAGUGAAAUGUUUGAAACCAGUAAGUUCUGUCUAAAACCAGUGAAAUGUUUGAAACCAGUAAGUUCUGUCUAAAACCAGUGAAAUGUUUGAAACCAGUAAGUUCUGUCUAAAACCAGUGAGGGUCUCUUGUGUUUCUGCUGCUCUUGUUUCCUGCAGGAUUCCUAGCAGCCAGUUGGAGUGAAGCUCGGCUCGACAUGAAUCUGUUUUUUUUACUCUGACUUCUCAAAGCAGCUCAAACAGCUGAAGAAGAAAAAAUAAAAAACUGGGAGGAACGGAGAUGAGACGGAUUUUGGGAUGAGUUUGGGGACUUGGGGAGAGAUUGUGGCUUCAGUUGGAGGCAGGAGAGGGAGGAGGUUCAAACUUCUAGCUCUGCGUUCGGCGCUGAAGGAGCAGGAGCGGCUUUGUGUUUCCUCCCAGGUUAAAACAAUGAAGAUUUAAAAUAUUCGCAUUAAUUGGAGCCGAUCCGCACGACUCCUGCCGCCGAUCACCAGCGGGUUCUUCUGAGGACGGAUCAGAGAAAGGAAAACGUUGUUUUAUCUUUGUGAUGAAGAUCGGGCUCUCUCAGGCUGUCUCAGGAAACAAACGUGAACCGAUGACACCGAGCCGUUUGGACGCAGCUCUGAAGAAUAACCGGGUCAUCGCUGCUCCCCUUAGAGACGCUUCGGCCCCAAACGUGUUGCUGCAGUCGCUCCUCCAUCAAUCUCCUCAGAAUCUGGGCCGAGAAUUCACUCGACCCGUCGUCUCCAUGAACGUUUCAACACGGCUGCAUCAGUCAUGGAGGAGCUGCACCUGCAGCUGCACCGUCAGUUUCAGGCCGGAUGUCAGGAGGAAACGGAGGCAUUUACACCUCCUCACCACCAGAGGCAGCAGAUUAACAGACAGACACAUCACCCUGCACAGUACGCCCAACACGCCUCACCGCUGUGACAUCACAUCCUGCGUCCACAUAAACUCUGUUCUGG